GCGCCACGGAAGCUCCUGCACCGAAGGUCAGCGGUCACUACGGGCCACAGGAGGCCUUCCACGGUGGCCCGAGGUGAAGCCCGCCUCCAGCUCUGCUCAGGGGCCCGGCGGUGGCCUCACAGACGCUGACGAGGACGAAGGAGGGCCACAGGCCACCCUGGGAACCCCCACCGGGAGGCGGAUGAUGGGCAAGGACCUGCACACCAGCCCGCGAGGCCGUGGGCUCUCACUCUCUGCUUGGGUUUCUGAACAGCCCCCCCCUCAGGGCAAAGCACAGGACAAGACCCAGAGCACGCGAGC
Molecule: long non-coding RNA, 300 nt
Organism: Leopardus geoffroyi (Geoffroy's cat)
Lineage: Eukaryota; Metazoa; Chordata; Mammalia; Carnivora; Felidae
Exons: 3
Source: RefSeq, a predicted model, not a curated record